Small nuclear RNA from Ictidomys tridecemlineatus (thirteen-lined ground squirrel), 97 nucleotides. Lineage: Eukaryota; Metazoa; Chordata; Mammalia; Rodentia; Sciuridae. The record is from Ensembl.
GUGCUCACUUCAGCAGCACAGAUACUAAAACUGGAAUGACACAGGGAAGACUAGCAUGGCCCCUCCUCAAAGAUGACAUUCCAUUUUUUUUUUUUUU